Molecule: ribosomal RNA, 251 nt
Filed under: uncultured prokaryote
Description: partial 16S rRNA
Rfam family: Bacterial small subunit ribosomal RNA
Source: RNAcentral
ACGGGGGGUGCAAGCGUUGUUCGGAAUCAUUGGGCGUAAAGCGCGCGCAGGAGGCUUGGUAAGUCAGAUGUGAAAUCCCUGGGCUUAACCCAGGAAGUGCAUUUGAUACUGCCUCGCUAGAGUACGGGAGAGGAAAGUGGAAUUCCUGGUGUAGAGGUUAAAUUCGUAGAUAUCAGGCGGAACACCGGUGGCGAAGGCAACUAUCUGGCCCGAUACUUACGCUCAGGCGCGAAAGCGUGUGGAUCAAAAAG